UACGGAGGGUGCGAGCGUUGUCCGGAAUUACUGGGCGUAAAGGGCGCGUAGGCGGCGCGAGGAGUCAGCGGUGAAAGCCCGGGGCUCAACCCCGGGUCGGCCGUCGAUACUCUCGUGCUUGAGCACUGUAGAGGCAGGUGGAAUUCCGGGUGUAGCGGUGGAAUGCGUAGAGAUCCGGAAGAACACCGGUGGCGAAGGCGGCCUGCUGGGCAGUAGCUGACGCUGAGGCGCGACAGCGUGGGGAGCAAACAGG
Molecule: ribosomal RNA, 253 nt
Filed under: uncultured bacterium
Lineage: Bacteria
Description: partial 16S ribosomal RNA
Rfam family: Bacterial small subunit ribosomal RNA
Source: RNAcentral